This 435-nucleotide ribosomal RNA is filed under the name uncultured bacterium. RNAcentral describes it as "bacterial SSU rRNA". It matches the Rfam family "Bacterial small subunit ribosomal RNA", at positions 958 to 1392 of the family's 1533-position model. The record is from RNAcentral.
AACGCGAAGAACCUUACCUAAGCUUGACAUCCCACUGACCUCUCCCUAAUCGGAGAUUUCCCUUCGGGGACAGUGGUGACAGGUGGUGCAUGGUUGUCGUCAGCUCGUGUCGUGAGAUGUUGGGUUAAGUCCCGCAACGAGCGCAACCCUUGCCUUUAGUUGCCAGCAUUAAGUUGGGCACUCUAGAGGGACUGCCAGGGAUAACCUGGAGGAAGGUGGGGAUGACGUCAAAUCAUCAUGCCCCUUAUGCUUAGGGCUACACACGUGCUACAAUGGCUGGUACAAAGAGAAGCGAACCUGCGAGGGUAAGCGGACCUCAUAAAGCCAGUCUAAGUUCGGAUCGCAGUCUGCAACUCGACUGCGUGAAGUCGGAUUCGCUAGUAAUCGCAGAUCAGAAUGCUGCGGUGAAUACGUUCCCGGGUCUUGUACACACCG